ACGUAGGAGGCGAACGUUAUCCGGAUUUACUGGGCGUAAAGCGCGUGUAGGUGGUUCUGUAAGUAGGGCGUGAAAGCUCCUGGCUCAACUGGGAGAGGCCGUUCUAAACUACAGAACUAGAGGAUGGUAGAGGGAGGUGGAAUUCCAGGUGUAGCGGUGGAAUGCGCAGAUAUUUGGAGGAACACCAGUGGCGAAGGCGGCCACCUGGACUAUUCCUGACUCUCAGUCGCGAAAGCUAGGCUAGCAAACGG
RNAcentral lists this ribosomal RNA (251 nucleotides) under uncultured prokaryote. Its description in RNAcentral is "partial 16S rRNA". It matches the Rfam family "Bacterial small subunit ribosomal RNA", at positions 525 to 775 of the family's 1533-position model. The record is from RNAcentral.